This 503-nucleotide ribosomal RNA is filed under the name uncultured bacterium. RNAcentral describes it as "partial 16S ribosomal RNA". It matches the Rfam family "Bacterial small subunit ribosomal RNA", at positions 30 to 523 of the family's 1533-position model. The record is from RNAcentral.
AUUGAACGCUGGCGGCAGGCUUAACACAUGCAAGUCGAGCGGGGUGAUGGUGCUUGCACUAUCACUUAGCGGCGGACGGGUGAGUAAUGCUUAGGAAUCUGCCUAUUAGUGGGGGACAACAUCUCGAAAGGGAUGCUAAUACCACAUACGUCCUACGGGAGAAAGCAGGGGAUCACUUGUGACCUUGCGCUAAUAGAUGAGCCUAAGUCGGAUUAGCUAGUUGGUGGGGUAAAGGCCUACCAAGGCGACGAUCUGUAGCGGGUCUGAGAGGAUGAUCCGCCACACUGGGACUGAGACACGGCCCAGACUCCUACGGGAGGCAGCAGUGGGGAAUAUUGGACAAUGGGGGGAACCCUGAUCCAGCCAUGCCGCGUGUGUGAAGAAGGCCUUAUGGUUGUAAAGCACUUCAAGCGAGGAGGAGGCUCUUUUGGUUAAUACCCAAGAUGAGUGGACGUUACUCGCAGAAUAAGCACCGGCUAACUCUGUGCCAGCAGCCGCCGUAA